Molecule: transfer RNA, 77 nt
Filed under: Pantoea ananatis
Lineage: Bacteria; Pseudomonadati; Pseudomonadota; Gammaproteobacteria; Enterobacterales; Erwiniaceae
Also listed under: 2 other names
Description: tRNA-Arg
Rfam family: tRNA
About the family: Transfer RNA (tRNA) molecules are approximately 80 nucleotides in length. Their secondary structure includes four short double-helical elements and three loops (D, anti-codon, and T loops). Further hydrogen bonds mediate the characteristic L-shaped molecular structure. tRNAs have two regions of fundamental functional importance: the anti-codon, which is responsible for specific mRNA codon recognition, and the 3' end, to which the tRNAs corresponding amino acid is attached (by aminoacyl-tRNA synthetases). tRNAs cope with the degeneracy of the genetic code in two manners: having more than one tRNA (with a specific anti-codon) for a particular amino acid; and 'wobble' base-pairing, i.e. permitting non-standard base-pairing at the 3rd anti-codon position.
Source: RNAcentral
GCAUCCGUAGCUCAGCUGGAUAGAGUACUCGGCCACGAACCGAGCGGUCGGAGGUUCGAAUCCUCCCGGAUGCACCA